GGGCGAUUAGCUCAGUUGGCUAGAGCGCGUGCUCGACAUGCACGAGGUCACUGGUUCGAGCCCAGUAUCGCCCA
This 74-nucleotide transfer RNA is filed under the name Pseudomonadota bacterium. RNAcentral describes it as "tRNA-Val". It matches the Rfam family "tRNA". Rfam says of the family: Transfer RNA (tRNA) molecules are approximately 80 nucleotides in length. The record is from RNAcentral. RNAcentral also lists the same sequence under 5 other names. Lineage: Bacteria; Pseudomonadati; Pseudomonadota.